AGUGAACGCUGGCGGUAGGCCUAACACAUGCAAGUCGAACGGCAGCACAGUAAGAGCUUGCUCUUACGGGUGGCGAGUGGCGGACGGGUGAGGAAUACAUCGGAAUCUACUUUUUCGUGGGGGAUAACGUAGGGAAACUUACGCUAAUACCGCAUACGACCUACGGGUGAAAGCAGGAGAUCUUCGGACCUUGCGCGAUUGAAUGAGCCGGUGUCGGAUUAGCUAGUUGGCGAGGUAAAGGCCCACCAAGGCGACGAUCCGUAGCUGGUCUGAGAGGAUGAUCAGCCACACUGGAACUGAGACACGGUCCAGACUCCUACGGGAGGCAGCAGUGGGGAAUAUUGGACAAUGGGCGCAAGCCUGAUCCAGCCAUACCGCGUGGGUGAAGAAGGCCUUCGGGUUGUAAAGCUCUUUUGUUGGGAAAGAAAAGCAGCAGAUUAAUACCCCGCUGUUCUGACGGUACCCAAAGAAUAAGCACCGGCUAACUUCGUG
This 492-nucleotide ribosomal RNA is filed under the name uncultured bacterium. Its description in RNAcentral is "partial 16S ribosomal RNA". It matches the Rfam family "Bacterial small subunit ribosomal RNA", at positions 29 to 507 of the family's 1533-position model. The record is from RNAcentral.